Molecule: long non-coding RNA, 1034 nt
Filed under: Olea europaea subsp. europaea
Lineage: Eukaryota; Viridiplantae; Streptophyta; Magnoliopsida; Lamiales; Oleaceae
Source: RNAcentral
UAUUGCUAUUACUGAAAUUGCCCAUCGCCCUAAAUACAUUAUUAGGCAGCAUUGAUUGAAGAACUCAGUACUUGAAUCUGCAUUAGAUAUGAAUGUAUAUACAUUAGUUGACACACUAAGCACUUUUUUUGGUACCUCACCAAAUAAGCUGUAAAGGGGGAAGAUAGCUUUGUACUCAAAAUUAAAGACCAGAAUACCUUAUUUAUGAGUAAGUUCACUUGUUCUCUGUACAUCUCUUUCAAAUCAACAAUAUCUGCAUGCAGUUCUUUCAACUAUGUACAACCAAUCUAUUUUAGCAUGUCAGAAUUGGAUUGAUGCAAUUAAAAUUUUCUGCUUUACAUUCUAUAAUGUACUGAUACUAAUAAACAGUGAUCUUUAAGGCAUAAAAAUAAAUUGAGAAUUAUAAAAUUUAAAAAGAAUACAUGACUGAGCGAUGUCUAUUAAACUUAGAGCUCGUUUGGUAGGGAUUUUGAAAAGACAAAAGUAGCUUGAGACUAAGAAGCUGCUUUUGGGAUAUGUUUGAACAAUUUUCUGAAAGUACUUAUAUAGGUUAGAAAAGCUUUUAGAAUAAGCUGGCCCGAGGUGGAAGCUUUUUACAAAAAGUGGAAGCACUGUCAAAAAAGCCCUUACUUCCAUGCUGGAACAAAACUCAGACAACAAAUAGCCCUUACUUCCAUGCUGGAAUACUGAUGAUUAACCCUGGGGAAAAUUAUUUUCAUAGUUCCUAAAUCUACAAAUUUUGGAGGAAUGUUCACCAUCUGUAAAGAUAUACUAGAAAAAUUUAACAAUGCAUUUUCAUCACGUUCACCCGUCAACUCCAAUGCUACUGAAUGUCUCUUUCUUAGAGCUUCUAUGAUGUGAUCCGGUAUUCGCCGCAAACGACCGAAGAAUUGAUGAUUAUUGGAGGGCUGCCAAGACCAAGAAUUAAGCUUCAAUUGAGGGGAAUUCGAGCCAAAUUAAUCAAUCAAUUUCAUAACCAAGCCAUGGAAUUCGAGAGGUUGAAGUUUACAAUCCAAAGUCCAAGAUUGUUAAUU